GGCCUUAUGAGAAUUUUAUGUUUUCUUAUUUUCUUUUAUAAAACAAACAAAUCUAACAUUUUAAAAUAACUAACAACUGGAUGCAAACCUCUUUGAAUGUGAAUGUGUAAAGUCAAAAAGUAAGCUGAAUCAGUCCAGAUAAUUGUUUAUGACACAAAGACAAAAUUAAGGAAAACAAUAUUUACCACAACAAUAAAAAGUCAAAUCUACUUACUAUAUAUAAAAAGUUGAGCAAACAUUUAAGAAAAUGUAUACCAUUUCAAUCAUGAAAAUCAUGUCAUGCUAGUAUAAACUUAUAAUCUCUAACAAGACUAAUAAAAAAAUAAAAAAUAAAAAAUAAAUUUUUUUAGUUAGACAUAUGCGAAGAUGAUAUUAAAAUGUGUUUUCAUUAUAAAGACAUAACAAAUAUAAAAAUAAUAACUAAGAUAGUAUAAUGUCAUAAAAUAUAUUUGACAACAAAUAAAAAAAAACAAGUUAGAAAAAUAAACGAACGUCAAACUUUAAGUAAAAUGAAUAUAAUAUCCAUCAUCACUUAAAUUUUUUUAAAAAACAAAAAUCAUUAUUAUACACAUCUCUUGCAAAUGAAAAUCUAAAUACAAACCAUAAAAUCAUACAAAAAAAAAUAAAACAUAGAUAACAAUUAAAGUAUAUCCUGUAUGUAAGGCGUACCUACCCUAGUCUACUAAUAAUAGCAAUCACAAUUAAUUCAAAAGGUUGUGUUUUUUCAGCAAUUAAAAGUUGUGGCUUUUUAUUUAAAAAUAACUAUUUAUAUUGAAAGAAUGUGACUAUUUAUAUUGAAAAGUUGUGACUCUCCAUAUAAGUAUUAUUAUAAAAAGACACAACAUUUUAAUUCAAAAGAUGUGACUUUUCAAACAAAUUUUUGAAAAUCUAUAAAUAGUCCAAUGUCCAUGCCUUCUCAAAUGCAUUAUUUUCACUAAUCAAAUAAAAUGGUGAAGAAAAAAAAACAAUUAAUAAUAGCAAACCCAAACAAUGUUUCAUUAUAUAUUAA
This 1009-nucleotide long non-coding RNA is filed under the name Brassica rapa (field mustard). RNAcentral's name for it is "long non-coding RNA (BRAP_LNC003647)". Lineage: Eukaryota; Viridiplantae; Streptophyta; Magnoliopsida; Brassicales; Brassicaceae. The record is from RNAcentral.